Molecule: ribosomal RNA, 497 nt
Filed under: uncultured bacterium
Lineage: Bacteria
Description: partial 16S ribosomal RNA
Rfam family: Bacterial small subunit ribosomal RNA
Source: RNAcentral
GACGAACGCUGGCGGCGUGCCUAAUACAUGCAAGUUGAGCGCUGAAGGUUGGUACUUGUACCAACUGGAUGAGCAGCGAACGGGUGAGUAACGCGUGGGGAAUCUGCCUUUGAUCGGGGGACAACAUUUGGAAACGAAUGCUAAUACCGCAUAAAAACUUUAAACACAAGUUUUAAGUUUGAAAGAUGCAAUUGCAUCACUCAAAGAUGAUCCCGCGUUGUAUUAGCUAGUUGGUGAGGUAAAGGCUCACCAAGGCGAUGAUACAUAGCCGACCUGAGAGGGUGAUCGGCCACAUUGGGACUGAGACACGGCCCAAACUCCUACGGGAGGCAGCAGUAGGGAAUCUUCGGCAAUGGACGAAAGUCUGACCGAGCAACGCCGCGUGAGUGAAGAAGGUUUUCGGAUCGUAAAACUCUGUUGGUAGAGAAGAACGUUGGUGAGAGUGGAAAGCUCAUCAAGUGACGGUAACUACCCAGAAAGGGACGGCUAACUACGUG